RNAcentral lists this ribosomal RNA (407 nucleotides) under uncultured bacterium. RNAcentral's name for it is "bacterial SSU rRNA". It matches the Rfam family "Bacterial small subunit ribosomal RNA", at positions 354 to 776 of the family's 1533-position model. The record is from RNAcentral.
GUGGGGAAUUUUGCGCAAUGGGCGAAAGCCUGACGCAGCAACGCCGCGUGAGCGAUGAAGGCUUUAGGGUCGUAAAGCUCUGUCAAGUGGGAAGAAUCCAUGACGGUACCACUGAAGGAAGCCCCGGCUAACUCCGUGCCAGCAGCCGCGGUAAUACGGGGGGGGCAAGCGUUGUUCGGAAUUAUUGGGCGUAAAGCGUAUGUAGGUGGUUGAAUAAGUCAGCCGUGUAAGCCCUCGGCUCAACCGGGGAAUUGCGUUUGAAACUAUUCAACUUGAGUGCAGAAGAGGAAAGCGGAAUUCCCAGUGUAGCGGUGAAAUGCGUUGAUAUUGGGAAGAACACCGGUGGCGAAGGCGGCUUUCUGGUCUGCUACUGACACUGAGAUACGAAAGCCAGGGGAGCGAACGGG